CCGAGUUAGGGUCUCACCGGCCCGAUCUCCCAACCCUUUGUCUACUUGACCAUCGUUGCUUCGGCGAGCCCGUCCUCACGGACCGCCGGGGGGUCUCUGUACCCCUUGGCCCGCGCUCGUCGAUAGCCCCCAAAUAAAAAAAUCUUAACUAAACGUGUCUUGAAUCUAAGUAUUAUUGUUAAAUAAAAACAAAACUUUCAACAACGGAUCUCUUGGUUCUGGCAUCGAUGAAGAACGCAGCGAAAUGCGAUAAGUAAUGCGAAUUGCAGAAUUCCAGUGAGUCAUCGAAUCUUUGAACGCACAUUGCGCCCUUUGGUAUUCCGAAGGGCAUGCCUGUUCGAGCGUCAUUAUCACCCCUCAAGCCCUCGGCUUGGUGUUGGACGGUUUGGUGGAGACCCCCUUUGCGGGCUUCUACCCCUCCCAAAGACAAUGACGGCGGCCUCGUUGGACCCCCGGUACACUGAGUUCUUCACGGGACACGUAUCGGACACACGGGUUUACGGGACACGGUCUGCCUCCCCUCAGGGAGAAUCUUUUUUUAUCAAG
RNAcentral lists this unclassified non-coding RNA (546 nucleotides) under uncultured Exophiala. RNAcentral describes it as "sequence contains ITS1, 5.8S rRNA gene, ITS2". The stretch from base 193 to 347 matches the Rfam family "5.8S ribosomal RNA". The record is from RNAcentral. Lineage: Eukaryota; Fungi; Ascomycota; Eurotiomycetes; Chaetothyriales; Herpotrichiellaceae.